GACGAACGCUGGCGGCGUGCCUAAUACAUGCAAGUCGAGCGGACAGAUGGGAGCUUGCUCCCUGAUGUUAGCGGCGGACGGGUGAGUAACACGUGGGUAACCUGCCUGUAAGACUGGGAUAACUCCGGGAAACCGGGGCUAAUACCGGAUGGUUGUUUGAACCGCAUGGUUCAAACAUAAAAGGUGGCUUCGGCUACCACUUACAGAUGGACCCGCGGCGCAUUAGCUAGUUGGUGAGGUAACGGCUCACCAAGGCAACGAUGCGUAGCCGACCUGAGAGGGUGAUCGGCCACACUGGGACUGAGACACGGCCCAGACUCCUACGGGAGGCAGCAGUAGGGAAUCUUCCGCAAUGGACGAAAGUCUGACGGAGCAACGCCGCGUGAGUGAUGAAGGUUUUCGGAUCGUAAAGCUCUGUUGUUAGGGAAGAACAAGUACCGUUCGAAUAGGGCGGUACCUUGACGGUACCUAACCAGAAAGCCACGGCUAACUACGUGCCAGCAGCCGCGGUAAUACGUAGGUGGCAAGCGUUGUCCGGAAUUAUUGGGCGUAAAGGGCUCGCAGGCGGUUUCUUAAGUCUGAUGUGAAAGCCCCCGGCUCAACCGGGGAGGGUCAUUGGAAACUGGGGAACUUGAGUGCAGAAGAGGAGAGUGGAAUUCCACGUGUAGCGGUGAAAUGCGUAGAGAUGUGGAGGAACACCAGUGGCGAAGGCGACUCUCUGGUCUGUAACUGACGCUGAGGAGCGAAAGCGUGGGGAGCGAACAGGAUUAGAUACCCUGGUAGUCCACGC
RNAcentral lists this ribosomal RNA (790 nucleotides) under Bacillus subtilis. RNAcentral's name for it is "bacterial SSU rRNA". It matches the Rfam family "Bacterial small subunit ribosomal RNA", at positions 28 to 800 of the family's 1533-position model. Lineage: Bacteria; Bacillati; Bacillota; Bacilli; Caryophanales; Bacillaceae. The record is from RNAcentral.